GAUGAAGAACGCAGCGAAAUGCGAUAAGUAAUGUGAAUUGCAGAAUUCAGUGAAUCAUCGAAUCUUUGAACGCACAUUGCGCCCCCUGGUAUUCCGGGGGGCAUGCCUGUCCGAGCGUCAUUACAACCCUCAAGCUCAGCUUGGUGUUGGGCCCCGCCGCCCCGGCGGGCCCUAAAGUCAGUGGCGGUGCCGUCCGGCUCCGAGCGCAGUAAUUCUUCUCGCUCUGGAGGUCCGGUCGUGUGCUCGCCAGCAACCCCCAAUUUUUUUCAGGUUGACCUCGGAUCAGGUAGGGAUACCCGCUGAACUUAAGCAUAUCAAUAAGCGGAGGA
RNAcentral lists this unclassified non-coding RNA (329 nucleotides) under soil metagenome. RNAcentral's name for it is "partial contains 5.8S ribosomal RNA, internal transcribed spacer 2, and large subunit ribosomal RNA". The stretch from base 1 to 120 matches the Rfam family "5.8S ribosomal RNA", at positions 35 to 154 of the family's 154-position model. The record is from RNAcentral.